Molecule: ribosomal RNA, 424 nt
Filed under: Fusobacteriota bacterium
Lineage: Bacteria; Fusobacteriati; Fusobacteriota
Description: Fusobacteria bacterium partial 16S ribosomal RNA
Rfam family: Bacterial small subunit ribosomal RNA
Source: RNAcentral
UGAGGAAUAUUGGUCAAUGGGCGAGAGCCUGAACCAGCCAAGUAGCGUGCAGGAUGACGGCCCUAUGGGUUGUAAACUGCUUUUAUGUGGGGAUAAAGUGCGUGACGUGUCAUGCAUUGCAGGUACCACAUGAAUAAGGACCGGCUAAUUCCGUGCCAGCAGCCGCGGUAAUACGGAAGGUCCGGGCGUUAUCCGGAUUUAUUGGGUUUAAAGGGAGCGUAGGCUGUCUAUUAAGCGUGUUGGGAAAUUUACCGGCUCAACCGGUGGCUUGCAGCGCGAACUGGUCGACUUGAGUAUGCAGGAAGUAGGCGGAAUUCAUGGGGUGGCGGUGAAAUGCUUAGAUAUCAUGACGAACUCCGAUUGCGCAGGCAGCUUACUGUAGCAUAACUGACGCUGAUGCUCGAAAGUGCGGGUAUCAAACAGG